This is an RNA transcript of Canis lupus familiaris (dog), 651 nucleotides long. It is a transcript of the gene named shisa like 2A, with no coding region annotated. NCBI's taxonomy places the organism in Eukaryota, Metazoa, Chordata, Mammalia, Carnivora, Canidae. The transcript has 3 exons. The record is from RefSeq and is a predicted model, not a curated record.
AGCAGGUCAAAGAUUGUAGGGAGGGUAGGAGAAGAAAGGGAACACAUACCGAGUGCCAACUACAUGGUGGCAUUGAAGCAUGUUGUGUCAUGUGUGCAGUGAGUACUUGGCAGUUAGCUAAUGCCCUUUCUCAUGCUCCGCACAAAUAGCCUAAGGCAAGUAGAGACAACAAAAGUUGAAGCCAGCUGAUCCCAAUAACACCUACAACACUUCACAUCUCACGGGCUGCCUCCUAAGUCCCUUCCCGACACUCCGCUCCCCGUGGUCUUCUCUCCGCAGCAUUGGCGCCCUUGUGGGCCUGUCCAUAGCAGCAGUGGUUCUCCUGGCCUUCAUUGUCACCGCCUGUGUGCUGUGCUACCUGUUCAUCAACUCAAAGCCCCACACGAAGCUGGACCCAGGCUUAAGCUUACAGCCUGCAGAUGAGAAAAUCAAGGCUAAAACAGAUUAGAUGACUUAUGCAAAGUGUUGCAGCUAAUAACUGACUCCAGGGAGGAGGGGCCUCCAGGCUGCCAAGGUGGCAAUGCCGGCAAUUGGAUGGAGGUGCCAGGAACGAGCACUCUUGAGCAGAAUCACCCCUUCCUGAGCCCACGGCUGGACGGCACCGAGGAGCAGCCUGUGCACCCCAGACGCCUGCUCCAGCACUGCUUCAUG